CAUGAAAAAAAAGAACUUAACUCGUGUUUUUCCUCGCCGACACGCUUUCUGUCUUCUUUUUUUAUCGGGGUCCGUUGCCCUUCAGCGGCGGCCAUUCCCACUGAAGCAGCAGAAAUCAACGACUCACCACCCUCUCGCGGCAUCAGGCGCGCAAUCCUGUUUCUUGGUUCGAGAGGAGGCCCCGCUGCGUCGAGGAGCGAAAAGAAGGCGCACAACGCUUGCUGGCCUUAUGCCCCACACAGAUUCCUCUCCUCAUUUUCCGAUGGAGGCACCAAUGGACGCGCUCUCUGCACCACCGCCGGACUUCACAGUAGUUCCAGAGAGCUCGCAGCGUGGUGUCGCGGCCGCCGCAGCAACGCAUGCAGGCCACAGCGAGGUGCAGCCACUUGAUGUGCGCAUUGUGCCGCUGCUCUUUGUCGUCACGUACUGGUGUGGGCUGAUGCUCGUGUACGCCUUCAUGGCGUACGUGAUAGCCAUGUCCGCCACAUGGCGCGGCCCCGUGAUUGUGUGGGCCCUACUGAUACCGACUGCUGCCUUUUCCCUUUGGCGGCGCCUGCCAUCGGAGAGGCGCUUUGUGGAGACGAAGAGCGCUGAGGUCAUUCUGCUCCGGUGUGGCGGCUUCUACGCUCUUGCGGGAUCGGACUCUUCGUGCGGCCACGCGGAUGAAAUGCCGGAGGCUCAACGCCACCAUCGGCAGUUGCCCCACCCGGUUCGCUGACGCUUGCACCACCGAUGGCGGGGCAACUACCGACACCAUUGUGGCGCGCCUGUAGCUGGUUACCAACUUCCCCAGCUCUCCUGCUCGCUCUACGAAUACUCGGCGCUGCCCACACUCAGUAUGCGUCUGUACAUGUGCGUGUGCUGGGAUGUACAUGUAUGUGUCUAUAUACAGAUGCGUACGUGCGUGUGUGCGGACGAGGGUGUCUUCUCUUUGUUUACUGCUUUCGCUAUCCUUCUCGUUUUUUUUUUCUCUCUGUGUUUGCCGUCCAAACACGCUUUCACACCUUCGCCCACACAUCCCUCACCCACUCUAACCAGCACAGGUGGUGCAGUCACCACAUUUGUGCGUGUGUUGCUCUCUCCGUCUUCGUCCCCUCUCCUCGUCUUGUACUCCCUUUUCUGCUAAUUCUCCUAUUUCUGCCUUUGGUGUCCGCUCUUCUCGGCAUCUUUCCGCCUCUCCUUCGAUUUUAUAACUCUCUCUCUCCUGAGGGGUGCAUCGAAAUCGCGCACUCAGGUGUGCGUGUGUGCAUGUUCGUGCCACCAUUGAUAAGCACACUCUGCCUACCCUUCUGCGAUGCCGAUGAUCACCCACUCGGUCCAAGUAAC
Molecule: unclassified non-coding RNA, 1326 nt
Filed under: Leishmania donovani
Lineage: Eukaryota; Euglenozoa; Kinetoplastea; Trypanosomatida; Trypanosomatidae
Description: gene:unknown
Source: RNAcentral